GACGUAGGGCGCGAGCGUUGUCCGGAAUUACUGGGCGUAAAGAGCUCGUAGGUGGUUUGUCGCGUUGUCCGUGAAAACUCACAGCUUAACUGUGGGCGUGCGGGCGAUACGGGCAGACUGGAGUACUGCAGGGGAGACUGGAAUUCCUGGUGUAGCGGUGGAAUGCGCAGAUAUCAGGAGGAACACCGGUGGCGAAGGCGGGUCUCUGGGCCGAUACUGACGCUGAGGAGCGAAAGCGUGGGGAGCAAACAGG
This 253-nucleotide ribosomal RNA is filed under the name uncultured bacterium. RNAcentral describes it as "partial 16S ribosomal RNA". It matches the Rfam family "Bacterial small subunit ribosomal RNA", at positions 524 to 776 of the family's 1533-position model. The record is from RNAcentral.